UCCGAGUUGACCCCGACAGUCUCCUACGAGUCCCCGGCAUUAUCCGCUGGCAACAUAGGACAAGGGUUGCGCUCGUUGCGGGACUUAACCCAACAUCUCACGACACGAGCUGACGACAACCAUGCACCACCUGUGAAAGUGUCCCGAAGGAAAGCCAUAUUUCUAUGGCGGUCACUUACAUGUCAAGCCCAGGUAAGGUUCUUCGCGUUGCGUCGAAUUAAACCACAUGCUCCGCUGCUUGUGCGGGCCCCCGUCAAUUCCUUUGAGUUUUAGCCUUGCGGCCGUACUCCCCAGGCGGGGUGCUUAAUGCGUUAGCUUCGGCACGGACGGGGUCGAUAUCCGCCCACACCUAGCACCCAACGUUUACGGCUAGGACUAC
This 379-nucleotide unclassified non-coding RNA is filed under the name uncultured Actinomycetes bacterium. RNAcentral's name for it is "uncultured actinobacterium contains 16S-23S intergenic spacer region". Lineage: Bacteria; Bacillati; Actinomycetota; Actinomycetes. The record is from RNAcentral.